UACACACCGCCCGUCACACCAUGGGAGUUGGGUUCACCCGAAGGCGUUGCGCUAACUCGCAAGAGAGGCAGGCGACCACGGUGGGCUUAGCGACUGGGGUGAAGUCGUAACAAGGUAGCCGUAGGUGAACCUGCAGAAGGAUCA
Molecule: ribosomal RNA, 144 nt
Filed under: uncultured eukaryote
Lineage: Eukaryota
Description: partial small subunit ribosomal RNA
Rfam family: Bacterial small subunit ribosomal RNA
Source: RNAcentral